CCUACGGGAGGCAGCAGUGGGGAAUAUUGCACAAUGGGCGAAAGCCUGAUGCAGCAACGCCGCGUGAAGGAAGAAGGGUUUCGGCUCGUAAACUUCUAUCAACAGGGACGAAAGAGAUGACGGUACAUGAAUAAGAAGCCCCGGCUAACUACGUGCCAGCAGCCGCGGUAAUACGGAGGGGGCAAGCGUUAUCCGGAAUUACUGGGUGUAAAGGGUGAGUAGGCGGCAUGGUAAGCCAGAUGUGAAAGCCUUGGGCUUAACCCGAGGAUUGCAUUUGGAACUAUCAAGCUAGAGUACAGGAGAGGAAAGCGGAAUUCCUAGUGUAGCGGUGAAAUGCGUAGAUAUUAGGAAGAACACCAGUGGCGAAGGCGGCUUUCUGGACUGAAACUGACGCUGAGGCACGAAAGCGUGGGGAGCGAACAGGAUUAGAUACCCUUGUAGUC
RNAcentral lists this ribosomal RNA (443 nucleotides) under uncultured bacterium. RNAcentral describes it as "partial 16S ribosomal RNA". It matches the Rfam family "Bacterial small subunit ribosomal RNA", at positions 338 to 795 of the family's 1533-position model. The record is from RNAcentral.